AUGCGAGUGCUUGAUGCGGUUGGCGGUGACGCCCUCGGCGGUAAGCCACACGGCGGAGCUAGUGUUGUGGCUAGAGGUUGGCUAAUCACAGGAACGCCAUAUCGGCAUGCUUUCCACGCAGUCACGACAAGGAGGACAGGAAGGACGAGCGUGAGGAGAAACGAACGAAGAAGAGAAACUGUAUGGGAUCGGGUAUAUGUAAAUCGCGUUUUUGAAAAAACGACUAAUACUCGUUUUUCUAUAAACGCAAAAUUCUGGGUUUUACGAGAACUGAGUUUCCUAUAA
Molecule: ribosomal RNA, 285 nt
Filed under: Triticum aestivum (bread wheat)
Lineage: Eukaryota; Viridiplantae; Streptophyta; Magnoliopsida; Poales; Poaceae
Description: partial small subunit ribosomal RNA
Source: RNAcentral